This 329-nucleotide ribosomal RNA is filed under the name uncultured Solirubrobacterales bacterium. RNAcentral's name for it is "bacterial SSU rRNA". It matches the Rfam family "Bacterial small subunit ribosomal RNA", at positions 20 to 342 of the family's 1533-position model. The record is from RNAcentral. Lineage: Bacteria; Bacillati; Actinomycetota; Thermoleophilia; Solirubrobacterales.
UGGCUCAGAACGAACGCUGGCGGCGUGCCUAACACAUGCAAGUGGAGCGACGAACCAGGCUUCGGCCUGGGGCAAAGCCGCGAACGGGUGAGUAACACGUGGGUAACCUGCCCCGAUGAUUGGGACAACCCGAGGAAACUCGGGCUAAUACCGAAUGUGCCCUCCGACCAUAAGGUCGCUGGGGAAAGGAAGCUUCGGCCUUCGCAUCGGGAUGGGCCCGCGGCCCAUUAGCUUGUUGGUGAGGUAACGGCUCACCAAGGAGACGAUGGGUAGCUGGUCUGAGAGGACGAUCAGCCACACUGUGCCUGAGACACGGAACAGACUCCUAC